This 757-nucleotide ribosomal RNA is filed under the name uncultured Antarctic cyanobacterium. RNAcentral's name for it is "bacterial SSU rRNA". It matches the Rfam family "Bacterial small subunit ribosomal RNA", at positions 28 to 829 of the family's 1533-position model. Lineage: Bacteria; Bacillati; Cyanobacteriota. The record is from RNAcentral.
GAUGAACGCUGGCGGUAUGCCUAACACAUGCAAGUCGAACGGAACCUUCGGGUUUAGUGGCGGACGGGUGAGUAACGCGUGAGAAUCUGCCUCCAGGAUGGGGACAACAAUUGGAAACGAUUGCUAAUACCCGAUAUGACGAAAGUUGAAAGAUUUAUCGCCUGGAGAUGAGCUCGCGUCAGAUUAGCUAGAUGGUGUGGUAAAGGCGCACCAUGGCGACGAUCUGUAGCUGGUCUGAGAGGAUGAGCAGCCACACUGGGACUGAGACACGGCCCAGACUCCUACGGGAGGCAGCAGUGGGGAAUUUUCCGCAAUGGGCGCAAGCCUGACGGAGCAAUACCGCGUGAGGGAGGAAGGCUCUUGGGUCGUAAACCUCUUUUCUCAGGGAAGAACAAAAUGACGGUACCUGAGGAAUCAGCAUCGGCUAACUCCGUGCCAGCAGCCGCGGUAAUACGGAGGAUGCAAGCGUUAUCCGGAAUGAUUGGGCGUAAAGCGUCCGUAGGUGGUUAUGUAAGUCUGUGGUUAAAGCGUGGGGCUCAACCCCAUAAAGGCCAUGGAAACUACAAGACUUGAGUGAAGUAGGGGUAGAGGGAAUUCCCAGUGUAGCGGUGAAAUGCGUAGAGAUUGGGAAGAACACCGGUGGCGAAAGCGCUCUACUGGACUUAAACUGACACUGAGGGACGAAAGCUAGGGGAGCGAAAGGGAUUAGAUACCCCUGUAGUCCUAGCCGUAAACGAUGGAUACUAGGUGUUGCCCG